RNAcentral lists this ribosomal RNA (446 nucleotides) under uncultured bacterium. Its description in RNAcentral is "partial 16S ribosomal RNA". It matches the Rfam family "Bacterial small subunit ribosomal RNA", at positions 338 to 795 of the family's 1533-position model. The record is from RNAcentral.
CCUACGGGAGGCAGCAGUCGAGAAUCAUUCACAAUGGGGGAAACCCUGAUGGUGCGACGCCGCGUGGGGGAAUGAAGGUCUUCGGAUUGUAAACCCCUGUCAUGUGGGAGCAAAUUAAAAAGAUAGUACCACAAGAGGAAGAGACGGCUAACUCUGUGCCAGCAGCCGCGGUAAUACAGAGGUCUCAAGCGUUGUUCGGAAUCACUGGGCGUAAGGCGUGCGUAGGCUGUUUCGUAAGUCGUGUGUGAAAGGCGCGGGCUCAACCCGCGGACGGCACAUGAUACUGCGAGACUAGAGUAAUGGAGGGGGAACCGGAAGUCUCGGUGUAGCAGUGAAAUGCGUAGAUAUCGAGAGGAACACUCGUGGCGAAGGCGGGUUCCUGGACAUUAACUGACGCUGAGGCACGAAGGCCAGGGGAGCGAAAGGGAUUAGAUACCCUUGUAGUC